GCCCAGGCAGGCGAUGGCUCCCAACAGCAAUGAGACGGCCUGACACGCUCGCCUUCCGAAACGUCCGAUGAGCGGUAAAGUGACCAGACGGGCGAGAAGCUCCACCAAGGCAAAGAUGAACUGCGUGAGCCUGCUCCUUCUUCCCCUGAGUCAUGAGCCAGCGAGCCGAUUCCGGCAGGAACCUGGUCAGUUGAAAUGCGGGUCAUUUACUAUUUAUUUGAAACCAGCAUGAUAUCGACGUGAAUCUCGGUAUCGGGUGGUGGUACCGACCAGAAUAAUACGGGCAGGAAAAUAAGAAGAGGCCCGUAGAGAGUCAGUUGGAGGAUCCUCCAAUCGUGGAUUAAAUAGGCAAGACCGGACAACGCGGCGAGACCGAUGGGGUAAAAACUGUGAUUGACGACGGUGCAGAAGGCAAACUUGGAUGACUCGCACCACUCGCCACCUUCAGGGAAGCGCAAGAAGAGAACCUUCAUUCAUGCCGCUUAUCCAGGGUCAGCUUGCUAGGGUACGGACUUCCACCUCCCGAGCCACUUCGUCCAGCUCUUCCGGGAGGAUUCCAGGAUGUUCUCUUGCCAGCCGCGAUAGAGAGUCUUUCCUGGGUCGCCCCCGGAAUCUCAUCUGAAUGGGACGUGCCCCGAAUACUGGACCAGGUAAUUGGGAGCCGACAAUAAAUGGUGAGGUUCGCCCACCGGUACCGUGGCGACCAUUCUCCAUCUCACCUCUGUCCCAAUAGUGGAGGUCCCAGGCGGUACCUCAAAUUCGGAGCCAUUGAGGCAGCUCGUGGUCUCGUUCAGGCCGUACAGCUCGAUGGUUUCCAAGGUCAGGUUGGCAUCCACCCGAUCCAGGAUCCAGUCGGUGUUGCAGUAGUUUGGGUAGUUAAAACCGACGAAAACCUGACUGAUGAUGUCGAAGGCGACGAAGAUGUUGGGGAUGCACAAGGCGGCCACCAGGCGCUUCUGGAAUAAACCGAACUCGCCGAUCUCCUUGAGGAUGUGCGUGAAGGUACUCAUGGUGUCGGGGAAAAAAAUUGUGAUGC
Molecule: long non-coding RNA, 1036 nt
Organism: Hippocampus comes (tiger tail seahorse)
Lineage: Eukaryota; Metazoa; Chordata; Actinopteri; Syngnathiformes; Syngnathidae
Exons: 5
Source: RefSeq, a predicted model, not a curated record